Molecule: long non-coding RNA, 292 nt
Organism: Perca fluviatilis (European perch)
Lineage: Eukaryota; Metazoa; Chordata; Actinopteri; Perciformes; Percidae
Exons: 3
Source: RefSeq, a predicted model, not a curated record
CUUUUUAAUGGUUGUAACUCCUCUACUUGAAGUGAACGAGGAAUUCAUUGGGAUUUGGGGACCAUAACUAUUGAGCAAAGGACCAAAAAUCAAGCCAAGGCCGGAUUACCAAUUCCCAGUACUACUUCUGUAAAGAUACGGAAAAGAGAAACAAAAAACAACACAGAAGAUGCAAGAUGUGAGGGCAGCCUAAAGAGCUACUGGGCUCCUACCACUACAGAUAGGGAAAAGUGGAGCAAGAUCCUGUCUUCAAAUCCAGGCUACGGCAGCAGAUCUGGUGUGUCAACUACAG